Molecule: ribosomal RNA, 301 nt
Filed under: uncultured bacterium
Lineage: Bacteria
Description: partial 16S ribosomal RNA
Rfam family: Bacterial small subunit ribosomal RNA
Source: RNAcentral
CAGUCCCACGGUAAUACGGAGGGUCCGAGCGUUAAUCGGAAUUACUGGGCGUAAAGCGUGCGCAGGCGGUUUGUUAAGCGAGAUGUGAAAGCCCUGGGCUCAACCUAGGAAUAGCAUUUCGAACUGGCGAACUAGAGUUUUGUAGAGGGGGGUAGAAUUCCAGGUGUAGCGGUGAAAUGCGUAGAGAUCUGGAGGAAUACCGGUGGCGAAGGCGGCCCCCUGGACAAAGACUGACGCUCAUGCACGAAAGCGUGGGGAGCAAACAGGAUUAGAUACCCGUGUAGUCCCUGUCUCUUAUACA